RNAcentral lists this ribosomal RNA (512 nucleotides) under Salmonella enterica subsp. enterica serovar Enteritidis. RNAcentral's name for it is "partial 23S ribosomal RNA". The stretch from base 1 to 366 matches the Rfam family "Bacterial large subunit ribosomal RNA", at positions 161 to 565 of the family's 2925-position model. The record is from RNAcentral. Lineage: Bacteria; Pseudomonadati; Pseudomonadota; Gammaproteobacteria; Enterobacterales; Enterobacteriaceae.
AAUCCAUAGGUUAAUGAGGCGAACCGGGGGAACUGAAACAUCUAAGUACCCCGAGGAAAAGAAAUCAACCGAGAUUCCCCCAGUAGCGGCGAGCGAACGGGGAGGAGCCCAGAGCCUGAAUCAGCAUGUGUGUUAGUGGAAGCGUCUGGAAAGGCGCGCGAUACAGGGUGACAGCCCCGUACACAAAAGCGCAUGUGCUGUGAGCUCGAUGAGUAGGGCGGGACACGUGGUAUCCUGUCUGAAUAUGGGGGGACCAUCCUCCAAGGCUAAAUACUCCUGACUGACCGAUAGUGAACCAGUACCGUGAGGGAAAGGCGAAAAGAACCCCGGCGAGGGGAGUGAAAAAGAACCUGAAACCGUGUACGUACAAGCAGUGGGAGCCCCACCACCAAAGCAUUUGCUGUACCGCGUUGACGGAGCGAAGCGACGUCAAACCGAUAAAACAGCAGUGUAAAGUGAGCCGCAGGGCGCUUUGCGCGACAGCGCAAAGGCAGGCGGUUUCGCGUAGCGAA